RNAcentral lists this ribosomal RNA (660 nucleotides) under uncultured bacterium. Its description in RNAcentral is "bacterial SSU rRNA". It matches the Rfam family "Bacterial small subunit ribosomal RNA", at positions 94 to 788 of the family's 1533-position model. The record is from RNAcentral.
AGUGGCGGACGGGUGAGUAACGCGUGAGAAUCUGCCUUGGGGUCGGGGACAACCACUGGAAACGGUGGCUAAUACCGGAUAAGCCGAUUGGUGAAAGAUUUAUUGCCCGAAGAGGAGCUCGCGUCUGAUUAGCUAGUUGGUGAGGUAAGAGCUCACCAAGGCAGCGAUCAGUAGCUGGUCUGAGAGGACGAUCAGCCACACUGGGACUGAGACACGGCCCAGACUCCUACGGGAGGCAGCAGUGGGGAAUUUUCCGCAAUGGGCGAAAGCCUGACGGAGCAAGACCGCGUGAGGGAGGAAGGCUCUUGGGUUGUAAACCUCUUUUCUCAGGGAAGAAGCUCUGACGGUACCUGAGGAAUCAGCCUCGGCUAACUCCGUGCCAGCAGCCGCGGUAAUACGGAGGAGGCAAGCGUUAUCCGGAAUUAUUGGGCGUAAAGCGUCCGCAGGUGGCGAUUCAAGUCUGCUGUCAAAGCACGGGGCUUAGCUCCGUAAAGGCAGUGGAAACUGAAUAGCUAGAGUGCCGUAGGGGUAGAGGGAAUUCCCGGUGUAGCGGUGAAAUGCGUAGAGAUCGGGAAGAACAUCGGUGGCGAAAGCGCUCUACUGGACGGCAACUGACACUCAGGGACGAAAGCUAGGGGAGCGAAUGGGAUUAGAUACCCC